RNAcentral lists this ribosomal RNA (467 nucleotides) under uncultured bacterium. Its description in RNAcentral is "partial 16S ribosomal RNA". It matches the Rfam family "Bacterial small subunit ribosomal RNA", at positions 28 to 507 of the family's 1533-position model. The record is from RNAcentral.
GACGAACGCUGGCGGCGUGCUUAACACAUGCAAGUCGAACGGAAAGGCCCUGCUUUUGUGGGGUGCUCGAGUGGCGAACGGGUGAGUAACACGCGAGUAACCUGCCCUUGACUUGGGAUAACUUCAGGAAACUGGGGCUAAUACCGGAUAGGAGCUCCUGCUGCAUGGUGGGGGUUGGAAAGUUUCGGCGGUUGGGGAUGGACUCGCGGCUUAUCAGCUUGUUGGUGGGGUAGUGGCUUACCAAGGCUUUGACGGGUAGCCGGCCUGAGAGGGUGACCGGCCACAUUGGGACUGAGAUACGGCCCAGACUCCUACGGGAGGCAGCAGUGGGGAAUAUUGCACAAUGGGCGGAAGCCUGAUGCAGCAACGCCGCGUGCGGGAUGACGGCCUUCGGGUUGUAAACCGCUUUCGCCUGUGACGAAGCGUGAGUGACGGUAAUGGGUAAAGAAGCACCGGCUAACUACGUG